RNAcentral lists this ribosomal RNA (372 nucleotides) under uncultured organism. Its description in RNAcentral is "partial 16S ribosomal RNA". It matches the Rfam family "Bacterial small subunit ribosomal RNA", at positions 527 to 896 of the family's 1533-position model. The record is from RNAcentral.
AUAGGUGGCAAGCGUUGUCCGGAAUUAUUGGGCGUAAAGCGCGCGCAGGCGGUUCUUUAAGUCUGAUGUGAAAGCCCACGGGCUCAACCGUGGAGGGUCAUUGGGAACUGGAGAACUUGAGUACAGAAGAGGAAAGCGGAAUUCCACGUGUAGCGGUGAAAUGCGUAGAGAUGUGGAGGAACACCAGUGGCGAAGGCGGCUUUCUGGUCUGUAACUGACGCUGAGGCGCGAAAGCGUGGGGAGCAAACAGGAUUAGAUACCCUGGUAGUCCACGCCGUAAACGAUGAGUGCUAAGUGUUAGGGGGUUUCCGCCCCUUAGUGCUGCAGCUAACGCAUUAAGCACUCCGCCUGGGGAGUACGGCCGCAAGGCUG